GCCAGGCGGCGUGGGGCUGGGCUGGCGUGUGUCGUGUCGUGUCGUGUCGUGUCGUGUCGUGUCGUGUCGUGUCGUGUCGUGUCGCCCAGGGGCGACAGCCACCCCCCGCGCCGCACUCCCCGUCCCAGGGAUCACCGGUCUGCUGGCACCCAGCCCGCUGGCCGAGGCCAGGCCCAGUUCGGGAGGGCCUGUGACUCUGGCUCGGUUGCUGCCAGGGCUGGGAAGGGGCAAUAAGGGACAGAAGGAAGAGACCUGUCUGCCUGUCCCCAGCAGCGCACAGAGCUCCAGCCCCCGCUACAAGGGACUUUCUGCAGCCAAAUGACUUUGCCUUGUUGGCAUUGUGCGAUCACGGGGAAGGAGAGCAUGCGGCAAAGCCCCUUCCCCUGUGCAACAUAACGAGAUGUUGAUUCGAGGUUUCUGCAGAAGACAAAGAGAAGGUUGUAGCUGUUUUGUUUGGGGGUGGGAGGAGGCUCAGCAUCCAGGAAGCACCUUCCCCUGGGAGCACAGGGAGACCUGGCCACCCACAGCCCUGGCUCGCCAGGAAUCCAGGCUUCCAUAUGUAUGGAUCUGGUGCCAGAAGUGUCGUUCCCAUCGUCAGCAGGCCACCCUCCCCCACACCUUCCCUGCCUGCUCCCUCCUUCUCUUCUCUCCCUUCAUAACCAGCUGACUCUUUUCACAACCAGGAAACAAUCAAACAACCUCUUCAGCGGCUUCGGCUCCUCCUCCUCAGCGUCGCUGCCAUCUCCCCCUGUAAGGAUGCUGUCAGUGCUCCCAAAGCCCCGUGUGCUGUGCUGUGCAGAACUGUUAUUUCAGCCUCCCGGUGGGGAAUAACCCUCUGGGCUGCAAAUACCUGCGUUUCGCUAAGUAAAUAAUCACACAAGAUAAAA
Columba livia (rock pigeon) is the source of this 887-nucleotide long non-coding RNA. RefSeq lists it as uncharacterized. NCBI's taxonomy places the organism in Eukaryota, Metazoa, Chordata, Aves, Columbiformes, Columbidae. The record is from RefSeq and is a predicted model, not a curated record. The transcript is spliced from 2 exons.